GGUCCGCUGGCUCAAUGGCAGAGCGUCUGACUACGAAGGUGUAAUCAGGAGGUUCCAGGUUCGACCCCUGGGUGGAUCG
Molecule: transfer RNA, 79 nt
Filed under: Thermothielavioides terrestris NRRL 8126
Lineage: Eukaryota; Fungi; Ascomycota; Sordariomycetes; Sordariales; Chaetomiaceae
Description: Thielavia terrestris NRRL 8126 tRNA
Rfam family: tRNA
About the family: Transfer RNA (tRNA) molecules are approximately 80 nucleotides in length. Their secondary structure includes four short double-helical elements and three loops (D, anti-codon, and T loops).
Source: Rfam by way of RNAcentral